This is a long non-coding RNA of Exaiptasia diaphana, 510 nucleotides long. RefSeq lists it as uncharacterized. The transcript is spliced from 3 exons. Lineage: Eukaryota; Metazoa; Cnidaria; Anthozoa; Actiniaria; Aiptasiidae. The record is from RefSeq and is a predicted model, not a curated record.
GAGUAGGUGGUAUAAAUUAUCAUAAAAUUGUGGGCCACUUUUGUGUUGGUAAAUUGUGUGCAUCUUCUGUGUUGGUAAAUCGAGGAGGAUGAUUAUCAUAAAUUGUGGAAAUCAUAUACCAUGAAAUGACUAUUGUUCCUGAACAAAGAGCUGCCUGGACGUGCCUGAAUGAAACAAAAGAUAAGUUAUUCAAAGUCUUGUGGUUUCCUGAGUUUGAAAGCGCUUGCCUCACCAUUUAUCGACUAGCUUUCAUACAGUCAACAUCGAUUUGUGUUUAAACAACAUUUGUGAGUCAUGGCGGAAUUUUUCUUCGAAACGUCUAAUGAUAAACCCGACCUUUUGUUUGGUGAUUUCACCGAAGAUGACUGGAUUGCCAUCGAUUUAGCAUGUGAAAAAGCAUACCGCAAAGAAAGACAAGAAAAUACUAUUCAAUCAAACAAGCGUUUGCGGGAUGAAGAUAUUGUUAUUGACCCAGUAGAUAAUUCUUUGUCCGGCUUUGAACACGAAUCG